GUCCACGCCGUAAACGUUGUGCACUAGGUGUAGGAGGUAUCGACCCCUUCUGUGCCGCAGCUAAUGCAUUAAGUGCACCGCCUGGGGAGUACGCGCGCAAGCGUGAAACUCAAAGGAAUUGACGGGGGCCCGCACAAGCGGUGGAGCAUGUGGUUUAAUUCGAGGCAACGCGAAGAACCUUACCCAGGCUUGACAUCCCGCGCUACCCUUGGAAACAAGGGGGUUCCCUUCGGGGACGCGGAGACAGGUGUUGCAUGGCUGUCGU
RNAcentral lists this ribosomal RNA (265 nucleotides) under uncultured bacterium. RNAcentral describes it as "partial 16S ribosomal RNA". It matches the Rfam family "Bacterial small subunit ribosomal RNA", at positions 793 to 1055 of the family's 1533-position model. The record is from RNAcentral.